Molecule: ribosomal RNA, 274 nt
Filed under: uncultured bacterium
Lineage: Bacteria
Description: partial 16S ribosomal RNA
Rfam family: Bacterial small subunit ribosomal RNA
Source: RNAcentral
AUACGGAGGGUGCAAGCGUUAUCCGGAUUCAUUGGGGUUAAAGGGUGCGCAGGCGGACUUGUAAGUCAGUGGUGAAAUCCCGGGGCUCAACCUCGGAACUGCCAUUGAUACCGCAAGUCUUGAGUUUGGUUGAAGUGGGCGGAAUGUAGCAUGUAGCGGUGAAAUGCAUAGAUAUGCUACAGAACACCGAUCGCGAAGGCAGCUCACUAAACCAACACUGACGCUCAGGCACGAAAGCGUGGGGAGCGAACAGGAUUAGAAACCCCGGUAGUCC